RNAcentral lists this unclassified non-coding RNA (378 nucleotides) under plant metagenome. RNAcentral's name for it is "partial contains 5.8S ribosomal RNA, internal transcribed spacer 2, and large subunit ribosomal RNA". The stretch from base 1 to 105 matches the Rfam family "5.8S ribosomal RNA", at positions 50 to 154 of the family's 154-position model. The record is from RNAcentral.
GAAAUGCGAUAAGUAAUGUGAAUUGCAGAAUUCAGUGAAUCAUCGAAUCUUUGAACGCAUCUUGCGCUCCUUGGUAUUCCUUGGAGCAUGCCUGUUUGAAUAUCAUGAAAUCUUCAAAGUAAAUCUUUUGUUAACUCAAUUGGUUUCUACUUUGGUAUUGGAGGUCUUUGCAGCUUCACACCUGCUCCUCUUUGUUCAUUAGCUGGAUCUCAGUGUUAUGCUUGGUUCCACUCGGCGUGAUAAGUUAUCUAUCGCUGAGGACACUGUAAAAGGUGGCCAAGGUAAAUGCAGAUGAACCGCUUCUAAUAGUCCAUUGACUUGGACAAUACUUUUAUGAUCUGAUCUCAAAUCAGGUAGGACUACCCGCUGAACUUAAGC